This 497-nucleotide ribosomal RNA is filed under the name uncultured bacterium. Its description in RNAcentral is "partial 16S ribosomal RNA". It matches the Rfam family "Bacterial small subunit ribosomal RNA", at positions 28 to 507 of the family's 1533-position model. The record is from RNAcentral.
GAUGAACGCUGGCGGCGUGCCUAAUACAUGCAAGUCGAGCGAACGGACGAGAAGCUUGCUUCUCUGAUGUUAGCGGCGGACGGGUGAGUAACACGUGGAUAACCUACCUAUAAGACUGGGAUAACUUCGGGAAACCGGAGCUAAUACCGGAUAAUAUUUUGAACCGCAUGGUUCAAAAGUGAAAGACGGUCUUGCUGUCACUUAUAGAUGGAUCCGCGCUGCAUUAGCUAGUUGGUAAGGUAACGGCUUACCAAGGCAACGAUGCAUAGCCGACCUGAGAGGGUGAUCGGCCACACUGGAACUGAGACACGGUCCAGACUCCUACGGGAGGCAGCAGUAGGGAAUCUUCCGCAAAGGGCGAAAGCCUGAAGGAGCAACGCCGCGUGAGUGAUGAAGGUCUUCGGAUCGUAAAACUCUGUUAUUAGGGAAGAACAUAUGUGUAAGUAACUGUGCACAUCUUGACGGUACCUAAUCAGAAAGCCACGGCUAACUACGUG